UACGUAGGGGGCAAGCGUUGUCCGGAUUCAUUGGGCGUAAAGAGCGUGUAGGCGGCCUGAAAGGUCAGCUGUGAAAACUCGAGGCUCAACCUCGAGACGUCGGUUGAAACCAUCUGGCUAGAGUCCGGAAGAGGAGUGUGGAAUUCCCGGUGUAGCGGUGAAAUGCGCAGAUAUCGGAAGGAACGCCGGUGGCGAAAGCGGUCCGCUAGGUCUCUACUGACGCUGAGGCGCGAAAGCCAGGGGAGCAAACGGG
Molecule: ribosomal RNA, 253 nt
Filed under: uncultured bacterium
Lineage: Bacteria
Description: partial 16S ribosomal RNA
Rfam family: Bacterial small subunit ribosomal RNA
Source: RNAcentral